AAUUUCUCCCUCUUUUCAAUCUUCAAAAGUUGCAAAUUUUGAUCAUUGAAAUAGGAAAGAAUUGGGCAGAUAAGAUACCUUUAAACAUUUGGAGGAUGCCGCAGUUAAGGACUCUACGCUUUAUGAAUUCAGGAUGGUUAUGUCCUCCGAUUAUGCCUAGUGGUGAAGAGAAGCAUGCGGUUUUAGAAAAACUGCAAACUAUAACUGGUGUUGGUCCUGCAUGGUGUCAAAAGGAAAUUUUUGCAUUAAUGCCUAACUUGAAGAACUUGGAAAUCGUGUUGAAAGGAGUUGCUCAUGAAUUGUGGAUAGGUAUUUCCUGUUUGCCUCUAAUUGAGGUACUUAGAAUUAUAGUUGGAAAAAUUGAUUAUACGGCCUUUUCCGGUACCGAUCAAAAGCACAUGAUGCUUUUUUGAAAUAUAAAAGCACUUUUCCACCAACCCUUAGAAGGUUGACAUUAGGCGGGACAUGUCUUCCUUGGGAGGCUAUGGACAUUGUUGGCAUGUUGCCUAACCUCGAGAUACUCGAACUGGAAGACGAUGCCUGCGGAGUUAAACCUAAGACCACAUGGAAACCUUCCGAAGGAGGGUUUCCUAGAUUAAAGUUCUUGUCACUAUGUCAUAUGCUUUGUUUCACAGAGUGGAAGGCUACCGAAUAUCAUUUUCCUGUCUUGGAGAGACUCUUUAUAUCUCAUUGUCCGCAGCUAGAAGAGAUCCCACAAGAGUUUGCAAAUAUUUUUACACUUCAAUUGAUCGAGUUACAUGACUGUUGUAUUCACCUGGCCAUAUCAGCACAGCAGAUUGAACAAGAGCAAGAAGCCACUUUUGGAAGCCAAGUGACAUAUGUCCACACAUACAAUUGUGGACAAGGUAAGAUUGACAAAUAGAACAUAUCACCAUGCUUUCUUGUGAGUGUUAAAAUAUUUCUUUCUUCUGCGUUGGAUCAACUUCAUGACUAAUGUGUUAAAAGAGCUAUUGACUGAAUUGAAGGAAGAAGAGAAAAGGGAGAGGAGAGGGGGCAAAAUUUAAAAUAAUAAAACUUCUGAACAUAUUUUGACUAAACAAACUACACUAAAGCUUUCUAAUCCUUUCAUUUCUCUUGUGGCCAUUUCAAACACUAAAAUUAGAUGCACAUUGCUUAGUCUCCUGCACUCCUCUCUUUUCUUUAAUUUGACAAUUCGAGUACAAUAAAAGUUUUUUAAUAUGGUUGAGGAAAUAUUAGUACGACCUUUUUUUAAUUUGACAUUUCAAAACACUUGUGUUAUUUGAAUUGCACUGAAUUCUUACAGUAACUUUGAUACAUUUGUCAUACCUACAUCAACUUUUAUGCAAAUAUAGAGAAUGAUUUAACAAAGAAAAAGCUGGAAAUAUAUUGGCUUUGAACUUGUUUAUUACCAGAACUUUUUAUUAAGACUUGGCUUUUAUAGUUAUCCCAAUAUAUGCGUGAAGAUUGUACUUUUAACUGUAAUUUGAUGGUUAAGAUGCUAAUAUUUAUACUUUUCUUUUUAAUAGCUUACUGCCGCCAAUGUCAUCAUUUACUGAAGAGAAACUCUAGCUGACUGAUGAAGGUAGUUGCAAAGAUAUUUCAUCACACUUCUUUUAGAGCUUUCUAUUUUUCUUGAGCACAGUGUUAAGAAAUUAAGAUCCUUAUGCAUUUGGUUGUGUUUUUAUUUCUUGCUUUUCGUUUUCAAUAUGCAUUUGGUUGUGUUUUUAUUUCUUGCUUUUCAUUUUCAAUCGUCACUUUUUAAUUUGAAAAUAAUGUUUGAACAAAAAUACCCCUGCUUAACACACUAUGAUGGAGUUUGCAAAUUCCAAGCAGUGAAAUAUGAACUACUGAAAGUGUGUCAUGAACUCUAGAUUUUAUUAUUUCUAUAUUCCAGUUGUUUCAGCAGUAAAUAGCACAAAAUUUAUAGUCAAGGUAAUUUUAGAAAAUUGAGAGCAUUCAAAUCAAAUUUGGUUGCUUCACCUGUUUUCUUUCUCUCGCCGGCGACGGAACUGGAAAGCCAACGUUAAGACGUGACGGCAAACUCCGGUAGCGCUCAACGCUCUCUGAAAAGAACUUUCCCGAUGGCUCGACGGAACCCUAACUUCAAUGCUUCUGCAUUCCAAAUUGUGAAAAUUAACCCUCCUUUUCAAUUUCUGGAGUUUAAACUUCGGCACAAAAUUAAACUCCGAGAACAAUUUUUGGAGUUCGAACUAAUAAAAAUUUAAAUUCCAUGAAUUGUUUCUGGAGUUCACAACUGAAACUUCAAAAAUAAUUCAUUGAGUUUGAAGUGAGCCGUUAAGGUAUUUUUAUUUAAAACUAUUUUCAUGUCAAAAAGCUUUCAAAAUAGUGACUAAUGUUUGAUAGCAAGAAAUUGCUAUUUGCUCAUUUUUCCGUCUAUUUAUACAUAUAAGUAAUGUUAUCACCGAUUUUCUUUUCCUAAAGAUCAAGAAAAAGGAAGCUUAAUUUGU
RNAcentral lists this long non-coding RNA (2450 nucleotides) under Nicotiana tabacum (common tobacco). RNAcentral's name for it is "long non-coding RNA (NTAB_LNC010062)". Lineage: Eukaryota; Viridiplantae; Streptophyta; Magnoliopsida; Solanales; Solanaceae. The record is from RNAcentral.